This 107-nucleotide small nucleolar RNA is filed under the name Gossypium arboreum. RNAcentral describes it as "Plant small nucleolar RNA R71". It matches the Rfam family "Plant small nucleolar RNA R71". From Rfam's summary of the family: R71 is a member of the C/D box family of snoRNAs containing the C (UGAUGA) and D (CUGA) box motifs. Multiple nearly identical copies of this snoRNA have been identified in Arabidopsis, and it is thought to function as a 2'-O-ribose methylation guide for 18S ribosomal RNA. Lineage: Eukaryota; Viridiplantae; Streptophyta; Magnoliopsida; Malvales; Malvaceae. The record is from Rfam by way of RNAcentral.
AACCCAUGGUGAGGGCACCUUCUCAAUAGGUCCUUGUAUCUCUCCUAGGUAUCAUAAAGAGUUUCUAGAUCCAUCUGCAAAAUAGAAGAGAUAUCAUUCCUCAAUUU